GACGAACGCUGGCGGCGUGCUUAACACAUGCAAGUCGAACGGAAAGGCCCUGCUUUUGUGGGGUGCUCGAGUGGCGAACGGGUGAGUAACACGUGAGUAACCUGCCCUUGACUUUGGGAUAACUUCAGGAAACUGGGGCUAAUACCGGAUAGGAGCUCCUGCUGCAUGGUGGGGGUUGGAAAGUUUCGGCGGUUGGGGAUGGACUCGCGGCUUAUCAGCUUGUUGGUGGGGUAGUGGCUUACCAAGGCUUUGACGGGUAGCCGGCCUGAGAGGGGGGCCGGGGGCAAGGGGACUGCGGUAGGGGGCAGAAGGGUACGGGAGGCAGCGGUGGGGAGUAUUGCGGAAUGGGGGGAAGCCUGAGGCAGCAGCGCCGGGUGCGGGAUGACGGGCUUCGGGGUGUAAACCGCUUUGGCCGGUGACGAAGCGGGAGUGACGGUAAUGGGUAAAGAAGCACCGGCUAACUACGUG
Molecule: ribosomal RNA, 468 nt
Filed under: uncultured bacterium
Lineage: Bacteria
Description: partial 16S ribosomal RNA
Rfam family: Bacterial small subunit ribosomal RNA
Source: RNAcentral